AAGCCCAAGAGCAAAGGAGCCCAGAUGGUAAAAUCUGCAGCCCAGCUGACAAAGUGUUGAUCAGAAGAAUGUGGACAAUGGCUCUUGGGGAAGAGUGAAAUUGAGGAUUAUCAUCUCAUAUCGGGAAAAGUCUUUUAAGUGGUCCUGAUUUCCCUUCCUUCUUCAAUCUUGCCUGAACUUAGUGACUUGCUGAACCAGUAGAAUAUUUCAGAAGUUAUGUUUGAAGAUUUUGAGGCUCAGACGUAAGAAGCCUUGUGACAUUCACCUGGAUUUCUUGGAAUAUUUUUUUCUUGGCAUACUACCUCUCCAAAUGCAGCUGCCACACUUUGAGAAGACCAUGCCACAUGUGCAGCCCAUGAUGCUGCUGGUCCACUUUGAAGAACAUGGGCUUAGAGAAGCCUAAAAUUGAAGAGAAGUAAACAUUUAAUACAAAGAGAGAUGGAUUUUACUCUUGGAGGAAAAGCAACUCACCAAAAGCUCUUCUGUUGUCUGAAGUCUCGUGAGAUGAAAUGCACACGCCGAAACAGCAUCUUCUAUGAACCACAGUGGGAGGAUAUUACAUUAAAAUUGCUUGCUCGAUGUUAACCCCCAGUAUUGUUUUCUGCAGGUGCCAGGUCUGGUUCGGGGAUGAAGCUCAAAGUUAAAACCAAAUCAAUUGCAUACACAGGUGGUUAGACUAGAAUGUGUUUGAAUCUUUACGUUAGAAUGAUUCCAGAAAGUAGUAGGAAAAAUCUUCUGGGAGAAACGAUGCCAGCAUAAACAGUCAUGAGCAGCUUCAGACGCAAUUGACCCUUUCUAUGCUCACUCUUUCUAUCUAUUAAUAUUUACUUUGCUGUUUUUCAAGUUUAUCACAAAGCAGAAAAAGAGGAGUAUCUGAAUACAAAGGAGGCGGAGUUAGGCUGUGUAGGCAUGAAAAUCAAAACUGUUCAA
Rhinolophus ferrumequinum (greater horseshoe bat) is the source of this 930-nucleotide long non-coding RNA. RefSeq lists it as uncharacterized. NCBI's taxonomy places the organism in Eukaryota, Metazoa, Chordata, Mammalia, Chiroptera, Rhinolophidae. The record is from RefSeq and is a predicted model, not a curated record. The transcript has 4 exons.